GUGCCUGUAGCUCAGUGGAUAGAGCGUCUGUUUCCUAAGCAGAAAGUCGUAGGUUUGACCCCUACCUGAUUGUAUG
Molecule: transfer RNA, 76 nt
Filed under: Zingiber officinale
Lineage: Eukaryota; Viridiplantae; Streptophyta; Magnoliopsida; Zingiberales; Zingiberaceae
Description: tRNA-Arg
Rfam family: tRNA (bases 5-68)
About the family: Transfer RNA (tRNA) molecules are approximately 80 nucleotides in length. Their secondary structure includes four short double-helical elements and three loops (D, anti-codon, and T loops).
Source: RNAcentral